AGCUCCAAUAGCGUAUAUUAAAGUUGUUGCAGUUAAAAGCUCGUAGUUGGAUUUCUGGCACGCUGCGCCUGGCCCGCCUGCGUUAGCAGUGUGAGUGCCGGUUUUGCGCGGUUGCCAUCCUUCCAGAGAUCGGGCCUGCCCUUCACUGGGUUGGGUCCGCGAUCUGGAUCUUUUACUUUGAAAAAUUAGAGUGUUUAAGGCAGGCAAUUGCUGUGAAUACAUUAGCAUGGAAUAAUAACAUAGGACUUGGGUUCUAUUUUGUUGGUUUCUAGAGCCGAAGUAAUGAUUGAUAGGGAUGGUUGGGGGUGCUAGUAUUGAGCGGCCAGAGGUGAAAUUCUUGGAUUCGCUCAAGACUAACUUAUGCGAAAGCAUUCACCAAGGACGUCUUCU
RNAcentral lists this ribosomal RNA (390 nucleotides) under uncultured eukaryote. Its description in RNAcentral is "SSU rRNA". It matches the Rfam family "Eukaryotic small subunit ribosomal RNA", at positions 587 to 972 of the family's 1831-position model. The record is from RNAcentral.